Molecule: long non-coding RNA, 2095 nt
Organism: Gallus gallus (chicken)
Lineage: Eukaryota; Metazoa; Chordata; Aves; Galliformes; Phasianidae
Source: Ensembl
GGGGACAGUAGAGGACCAUGGAGUCCAUAGGGGGAGAGAGCGGAGAUGUGAGGGACUGAUAUAGAAUCAUAGAAUCGCUAAGGUUGGAAAAGACCCACAGGAUCAUCCAGUCCAACCAUUCGCCCUUCACCAAUGGUUCUCACUAAACCAUGUCCCUCAACACAACAUCCAAACGUUCUUUGAACACCACCAGGGUUGGUGACUCCACCACCUCUCUGGGCAGCCCAUUGCAGUGCCUGACCGCCCUUUCAGAGAAGUAGUAUUUCCUAAUGUCCAACCUGAACCUUCCCUGGCGCAGCUUGAAGCCAUUCCCUCUAGUCCUAGAGGGAAUAUAAGUGUUGUUGUUGGUAGGAGGACUUGCUUUGACAUAAGAUCAGGGAGAAUGUGAGGGGGACAAGUGGUGGGGAGCAAUAUGCUAUCCAACGUCAGUGUUUCUGUUGAGGUUAUGUGGUGUGGUUGAGCUUGUUAGUUUAAAACUGAUUCGUUCAUCUUCCUUAGAAGCACUUACCAAGAAGCGUUCUAAGAAUACAGAGAAGAGUUAACUGGAAGGCCGUUGUGGGUAGCAGGGGUACUGCAGUGUAACUGCUGCUCACAGGGCCUCGGCUGCAGCAUCACCCUGAGAAGAAAAGCGCAAGGCAGGGCCGGAAGGGUUAAACUGGGUGCAGAACGGGGCAUCGCUGGUGGGUCCGGGGCCCUUCCGAGAGAAACGCCUUAAGGAUCCGCGCUGCUAACGGACAUCAAGAUCCGCAUCGCGCCCGCCGCGCCGCCACGUAGCUGCAACCCAACGCAGCAGGAAGUAAACACAGCGACUUCCUGCAGGCCGCGCUAGGCCCCCGGUUCCAGCAGGCUCUAUGGUCAUCGGUCCUCCACGUGAAUUGCGCACGCGUGCUAAACCAUCCUGGAGGUCAUACACUGCGCAUGCGUAGCGGCUCUCCGCUGCUCCCCGCUGACUGCCAUGCGGCACUGCACGUACCGGAGCGGCGGCACCUGCGCAUUGCGGUGCGCAUGCGUAGAACAAUCAGGAGGACCGGGUACAAUAGAGAUCAGCGUACUGCUGGUGUACAGCUGUCCCUGCAGAAAGACGCUACUUCCGUGUUGCCGGGCGCAUGCGUUUCACCUUCCGGAGGACUGAAAACCAUAGAAAAUAGCGAACCGGCGGCGUAGGAGUGCACGACAAUCAGAGACUACUUCCGGAAACACAGGCGCACGUGUACCAUGACAUGGAGAACCUAUUGCCAUGGAAACAGCCGGCUGGAGACAGGGAGCAACACCAAACAGCGCUUCCGUGUUCCAGCACCCAUGCCCACCACGACCCGAAAAAUACCCUGCCUUAGCGGUAAGCUGAACGCCCAAACUCCAUAGCCAUAAGCACAACCACAGCUUCAUAACGACACCCAUAGACAAGACCCAGCCCAAGACGAUCACAAACUCCACGCACUAGACAAACAGCACUUUGGUAGCUCUACGCUGUCUCUUCUCUCUCCGUUCGCGCUCCCGAGCGAGCCCUGGGACCGGACCGCUCUGCUCCCAUCUGCCCCCGCUCCGCGCCCGGUGGCAGCCGAUUGGCUCAGCGCCGCGGUAGAUUUGCAUGUGCCCGCCCCACCGCCGCCUGUGAGCAGCAGCGCCACCUGCUGGACGCAGUGUGGUACUGCAGCGCUGCUACGCACGGACGGCGUUUUUUGGGGGCGAGGAAGAGGCUCUGAGACAUUCACCAUCAGCCCCAAAUCUGGAAUUAGUUACUAACUGCAGAGAUUCUUGGUCACAGCAUUUCAGUUUGCAAAUUAAAUUUUAUAAAGCCGUAUUUCCCUGAGCUUCCAUGCUGAAGAGCCAACCAGUAUGUUUAUUUCUGUAUGAUGGAACUUGUAUACCAUCCAGACCUUACAAAAAAUAUAUUGGAAGGAGAAAUGCAUUACAGUUCAGCACAGCACUGACAGCAUAGAAAACCCCCCAAGUGAGUUGCAGGAGGAGGUGUUUCUUCACAGUUAGGUUUUUACAUCAAUCCCUGUGUUUUAUUCAGACUCGUUAAGAGGUGUUGUGGAUGCAAAAUGCCACAGGCUGUGGCAAAAUGAAAGAGGCAUCACUGCUGCAAGAAGUU